AUUGAACGCUGGCGGCAGGCCUAACACAUGCAAGUCGAGCGGAUGAAGGGAGCUUGCUCCUGGAUUCAGCGGCGGACGGGUGAGUAAUGCCUAGGAAUCUGCCUGGUAGUGGGGGGUAACGUCCGGAAACGGGCGCUAAUACCGCAUACGUCCUGAGGGAGAAAGUGGGGGAUCUUCGGACCUCACGCUAUCAGAUGAGCCUAGGUCGGAUUAGCUAGUUGGUGGGGUAAAGGCCUACCAAGGCGACGAUCCGUAACUGGUCUGAGAGGAUGAUCAGUCACACUGGAACUGAGACACGGUCCAGACUCCUACGGGAGGCAGCAGUGGGGAAUAUUGGACAAUGGGCGAAAGCCUGAUCCAGCCAUGCCGCGUGUGUGAAGAAGGUCUUCGGAUUGUAAAGCACUUUAAGUUGGGAGGAAGGGCAGUAAGUUAAUACCUUGCUGUUUUGACGUUACCAACAGAAUAAGCGCCGGCUAACUUCGUG
This 484-nucleotide ribosomal RNA is filed under the name uncultured bacterium. RNAcentral describes it as "partial 16S ribosomal RNA". It matches the Rfam family "Bacterial small subunit ribosomal RNA", at positions 30 to 507 of the family's 1533-position model. The record is from RNAcentral.